RNAcentral lists this ribosomal RNA (468 nucleotides) under uncultured bacterium. RNAcentral's name for it is "partial 16S ribosomal RNA". It matches the Rfam family "Bacterial small subunit ribosomal RNA", at positions 28 to 507 of the family's 1533-position model. The record is from RNAcentral.
GACGAACGCUGGCGGCGUGCUUAACACAUGCAAGUCGAACGGAAAGGCCCUGCUUUUGUGGGGUGCUCGAGUGGCGAACGGGUGAGUAACACGUGAGUAACCUGCCCUUGACUUUGGGAUAACUUCAGGAAACUGGGGCUAAUACCGGAUAGGAGCUCCUGCUGCAUGGUGGGGGUUGGAAAGUUUCGGCGGUUGGGGAUGGACUCGCGGCUUAUCAGCUUGUUGGUGGGGUAGUGGCUUACCAAGGCUUUGACGGGUAGCCGGCCUGAAAGGGUGACCGGCCACAUUGGGACUGAGAUACGGCCCAGACUCCUACGGGAGGCAGCAGUGGGGAAUAUUGCACAAUGGGCGAAAGCCUGAUGCAGCAACGCCGCGUGCGGGAUGACGGCCUUCGGGUUGUAAACCGCUUUCGCCUGUGACGAAGCGUGAGUGACGGUAAUGGGUAAAGAAGCACCGGCUAACUACGUG